This 891-nucleotide ribosomal RNA is filed under the name uncultured eukaryote. Its description in RNAcentral is "SSU rRNA". It matches the Rfam family "Eukaryotic small subunit ribosomal RNA", at positions 559 to 1473 of the family's 1831-position model. The record is from RNAcentral.
GCCCUUGUGCCAAGCAGCCGCGGUAAUUCCAGCUCCAAUAGCGUAUAUUAAAGUUGUUGCGGUAAAAAAGCUCGUAGUUGGAUUUCUGUUGAAGACGUCCGGUCCAUACCACGUAUGCGCAUCUGGCUCGGCUUCGGCAUCCUCUCGAAAGACGUUUCUGCGCUUGAUUGCGUGGAGCGGAUCUCGGGACUUUUACUUUGAGGAAAUUAGAGUGUUCACGGCAGGCUAUCGCCAGAAUACAUUAGCAUGGAAUAAUACUAUAGGAUCUCGGUUCUAUUUUGUUGGUUUCUAGAAUUGAGAUAAUGAUUAAUAGGGACAAUUGGGGGCAUUCGUAUCAACACGUUAGAGGUGAAAUUCUUGGAUCGUGUUGCGACGAACUACUGCGAAAGCAUUUGCCAAGGAUGUUUUCAUUGAUCAAGAACGAAAGUAAGGGGAUCGAAGACGAUUAGAUACCGUCGUAGUCUUUACCAUAAACUAUGCCAACUAGAGAUGGGACAUCGUUCACUUAAGACUUGUUCCGCACCUUAUGAGAUAUCAAAGUCUUUGGGUUCCGGGGGGAGUAUGGUCGCAAGUCUGAAACUUAAAGGAAUUGACGGAAGGGCACCACCAGGAGUGGAGCCUGCGGCUUAAUUUGACUCAACACGGGGAAACUCACCAGGUCCAGACAUAAUAAGGAUUGACAGAUUGAUAGCUCUUUCUUGAUUUUAUGGGUGGUGGUGCAUGGCCGUUCUUAGUUCGUGGAGUGAUUUGUCUGCUUAAUUGCGUUAACGAACGAGACCUUAACCUGCUAAAUAGGAGCGCCUAUCUCCGGAUAAGCGCCUUUCUUCUUAGAGGGACUUUAUGCGUUUCAGCAUGAGGAAGUUUGAGGCUAAAACAGGUCUGUGAUGCCCA